This 508-nucleotide ribosomal RNA is filed under the name uncultured bacterium. RNAcentral describes it as "partial 16S ribosomal RNA". The record is from RNAcentral.
GGAGUUAGCCGGUGCUUCUUCUGUGAGUGAUGUCCUUCCUGCCGGCUAUUAACCCGCAGGCCUUCUUCCUCACUGAAAGUGCUUUACAACCCGAAGGCCUUCUUCACACACGCGGCAUGGCUGGAUCAGGGUUGCCCCCAUUGUCCAAUAUUCCCCACUGCUGCCUCCCGUAGGAGUCUGGGCCGUGUCUCAGUCCCAGUGUGGCUGAUCAUCCUCUCAGACCAGCUACGGAUCGUCGCCUUGGUGAGCCGUUACCUCACCAACCAGCUAAUCCGACAUAGGCUCAUCCGAUAGCGCGAGGCCCGAAGGUCCCCCGCUUUCCCCCGUAGGGCGUAUGCGGUAUUAGCCUGGGGUUUCCCCAGGUUAUCCCCCACUACCGGGCAGAUUCCUAUGCAUUACUCACCCGUCCGCCGCUCGCCACCAGGGAGCAAGCUCCCCGUGCUGCCGCUCGACUUGCAUGUGUUAGGCCUGCCGCCAGCGUUCAAUCUGAGCCAGGAUCAAACUCUGA